AUUUAAAUACAUCUCAUGCUAAGGUUCAAC
This 30-nucleotide non-coding RNA is filed under the name Clostridium argentinense CDC 2741. Lineage: Bacteria; Bacillati; Bacillota; Clostridia; Eubacteriales; Clostridiaceae. The record is from RNAcentral.